RNAcentral lists this ribosomal RNA (253 nucleotides) under uncultured bacterium. RNAcentral describes it as "partial 16S ribosomal RNA". It matches the Rfam family "Bacterial small subunit ribosomal RNA", at positions 524 to 776 of the family's 1533-position model. The record is from RNAcentral.
GACGAAGGAUGCAAGCGUUAUCCGGAUUCAUUGGGCUUAAAGGGAGCGUAGGUGGUCUGAUAAGUCAGUGGUGAAAUCUUUGGGCUUAACCCAAAGAUUGCCAUUGAUACUGUUGGUCUUGAGUACAGUUGCUGUGGGCGGAAUAUGACAUGUAGUGGUGAAAUACAUAGAGAUGUCAUAGAACACCGAUUGCGAAGGCAGCUCACAAAGCUGUAACUGACACUGAGGCUCGAAAGUGCGGGGAUCAAACAGG